GCGGAUAUAGCUCAGUGGUAGAGUGUUUGCCUAGUAUGCACAAGGCCCUGGGUUCUAAUCCCCAGUACCACA
This 72-nucleotide transfer RNA is filed under the name Marmota marmota marmota (Alpine marmot). It matches the Rfam family "tRNA". From Rfam's summary of the family: Transfer RNA (tRNA) molecules are approximately 80 nucleotides in length. Their secondary structure includes four short double-helical elements and three loops (D, anti-codon, and T loops). Further hydrogen bonds mediate the characteristic L-shaped molecular structure. tRNAs have two regions of fundamental functional importance: the anti-codon, which is responsible for specific mRNA codon recognition, and the 3' end, to which the tRNAs corresponding amino acid is attached (by aminoacyl-tRNA synthetases). tRNAs cope with the degeneracy of the genetic code in two manners: having more than one tRNA (with a specific anti-codon) for a particular amino acid; and 'wobble' base-pairing, i.e. permitting non-standard base-pairing at the 3rd anti-codon position. The record is from Rfam by way of RNAcentral. Lineage: Eukaryota; Metazoa; Chordata; Mammalia; Rodentia; Sciuridae. RNAcentral also lists the same sequence under 2 other names.